UAGCUCCAGUCUCACCCCAACCUGGAAACUUGCAUAUGCCAUGGGUACGGCCCUAAAAAACGAAAAAAGAAAAAGAAAAAGAAAGAAAGUGGGGCAAUUCCACGAUGGGUGUCUCAAUGAAUCUCUUCUACAGGGAGGAGAAGCUAGGAUGAGGGUAAAGCUGUAAUUGGUAAAGAAUUAGUGGUUGCUCAUUUCAGCUAAGAGAGGGUAUUCGGUAUUUUGUGGGUGGCACAGUGACUCGCUUUUGUCUGUGUUUUCCCCACAUCAUGCAGUGGUCUUGCUCGGCUGAAUUUUUGUUAUGAGUCUCAGGGCAGCCUCGUCUGAAGCAGGUAUUCUGGGAGAUUGUCUACAUCACUGGCAGAGUCACAAGCUCAGCCAGGAGCCCCCAGCCAGCUUCUGAAUGCAGAGGCUGCUCCUCUUUCUUUCUCAGUAGCUUUAGGCAUUCUUGUUCUCUAACUGGCAGAGCACAUACUUUUAUAUGUGGGUGUAUAUACACUACCCCUUUUGCAACAAGGAUAAUCCUAUUUUAGGUUGGGUUGGAUAGGAGAAUGAACGCAAAGGAAAUAAUAAGGACAGUUCAGGAGUGACCUCAUGGCAGAGUCGAUUAAGGAUCCAGUAUUGUCACUGCAGCAGCUCAGGUUGAUGCUGUGGCACAGGUUCCAUCUCUGUCCCUGGAAUUUUCACAUGCCGUGGGGACACAGCCAACAAGAAGGAAAAAGAAAGAACAGUUCAGUACACUCCCUGGUCGCCUUUCUAAACAGCUGGCUCUUUGGAGAGCUGAUGCCUUUCUCCUCUGCCUCUUAAGCUUGAGUACCGUGUUGCCUUCUCUGUUACCCUGAGAUGAGCAACAAGACACAAACAAGGCAACAAUCCUUUCUUAGGAUGAAAGCGAUGAUCAGCAUGGGUUUUCACUCUUGUUUUGAAAGAAGCAUUCUCAGAGUGUUUAAUAAUCUUUUAAGAGGAGUUCCCUGGUGGCCUUAUCAGUUAAGGAUCCUGCAUUGUCACUGCUGUGGCUUGGGUUACUGCUGUGGUGUGGUGCGGGUUCCUUUCCUGGCCUGGGAACUUUUGUAUGCCCCUCACACAGCUCCCCCCCAAAAAAAAAUCUAUAAGAGGAAAAAAAAUUUUUUUUUGAUACCUUUAGUUCAAGUUCUCUCUGCUGUGCUCACUACUAAGCAUUGACACCAUUGGCCCCUGAACUGUUUCUCAAAUUUUCCCUAGUUCUCUUUUUUUUUUCCACUAGAAAACAAAUAUUUCUAGCAUUCAGAAGAGUUUCCAUAUUUCUGCGCUCAGAGGUAUUAAUGGGGCUAUU
Molecule: long non-coding RNA, 1309 nt
Filed under: Sus scrofa (pig)
Lineage: Eukaryota; Metazoa; Chordata; Mammalia; Artiodactyla; Suidae
Description: lncRNA (ENSSSCG00015046330.1)
Source: RNAcentral